GGGCGAUUAGCUCAGCUGGUUUAGAGCGCCUCCCUUACAAGGAGGAAGUCGCAGGUUCGACUCCUGCAUCGCCCACCA
RNAcentral lists this transfer RNA (78 nucleotides) under Candidatus Susulua stagnicola. Its description in RNAcentral is "tRNA-Val". It matches the Rfam family "tRNA". From Rfam's summary of the family: Transfer RNA (tRNA) molecules are approximately 80 nucleotides in length. Lineage: Bacteria; Pseudomonadati; Candidatus Omnitrophota. The record is from RNAcentral.